Molecule: ribosomal RNA, 486 nt
Filed under: Escherichia coli
Lineage: Bacteria; Pseudomonadati; Pseudomonadota; Gammaproteobacteria; Enterobacterales; Enterobacteriaceae
Description: bacterial SSU rRNA
Rfam family: Bacterial small subunit ribosomal RNA
Source: RNAcentral
CUGAUGGAGGGGGAUAACUACUGGAAACGGUAGCUAAUACCGCAUAACGUCGCAAGACCAAAGAGGGGGACCUUCGGGCCUCUUGCCAUCGGAUGUGCCCAGAUGGGAUUAGCUUGUUGGUGGGGUAACGGCUCACCAAGGCGACGAUCCCUAGCUGGUCUGAGAGGAUGACCAGCCACACUGGAACUGAGACACGGUCCAGACUCCUACGGGAGGCAGCAGUGGGGAAUAUUGCACAAUGGGCGCAAGCCUGAUGCAGCCAUGCCGCGUGUAUGAAGAAGGCCUUCGGGUUGUAAAGUACUUUCAGCGGGGAGGAAGGGAGUAAAGUUAAUACCUUUACUCAUUGACGUUACCCGCAGAAGAAGCACCGGCUAACUCCGUGCCAGCAGCCGCGGUAAUACGGAGGGUGCAAGCGUUAAUCGGAAUUACUGGGCGUAAAGCGCACGCAGGCGGUUUGUUAAGUCAGAUGUGAAAUCCCCGGGCUCA